This 2082-nucleotide long non-coding RNA is filed under the name Strongylocentrotus purpuratus (purple sea urchin). RNAcentral's name for it is "uncharacterized LOC105442359". Lineage: Eukaryota; Metazoa; Echinodermata; Echinoidea; Camarodonta; Strongylocentrotidae. The record is from RNAcentral.
AGUUACUCCAUACUAAGUACUAGGGAGUUAUUACAAUUAUGAAAAUAAAGCUCACAAGAAAAUUUUAUAUGUUCUUCCCAAAUAUAUGAACAUGUUACUUUCGGGAGUUUAACUAUUUUAUUUCAGGACGAGUACGCAACCGAGUCUGGAUAGUGGGGGACAGUAUCGUAAGAAGGGCCAAAGAGCGAGCUACUGCACAGAACCGCCUGCACUUGGGAGCAGAGAAGGGUGCAGUACAGUGGCAUGGUCAAGGAGGUGCUACUCUCCAUGACUUCCCCCGAAUGGUCACAAAUAGGCUGAAUUACAACGCCCCACCCGCACUGGCGAUCGUUCACCUGGGAACAAACGACUUGGGUCAGAGAGAUGCAUGCCGUUGCAGAAUCGCAAUCGAUACAGCAAUUCAAACUCUACGAGCAAGAAUGCCAGGAACCCACAUAGCCUGGUCUGGUAUUCUUCCAAGAUUGUUUUACUACGGUAGCAGACCAGGCCCAACAUCACAAGAGACAAUGGAUGGUGUGCGGAAGUCACUUAACAAAUUCGCAAAGAGGAGAAUCUCCCAGAUGGUGAACACAUCAAUGAUAGUGCACAACAUAGAUACCAAAGAGCACAAUCUGUUCCAUAGGGAUGGAAUUCAUCUCUCAGAUGUGGGCUCGGACAUGCUCAUCGAUAAAUUCGAAUCUGCAGCCAAGGACACUGGCCUUCUCUGAACAGAUUCAGCCUAAUGUCAAUAGUAUUCUAUGUAAACCUAAAGUGAGCGACAAAAGUCAAUUAGUUGAAUUGAGUUAUAUUUGGGUUAUUCCAUGAGAUUGGGUGUGAAAAUAUAAGAUGAUAGCCAGGUAACGGGAGGCAUGAGAAAUACUAUUACACACUGAAAAGUAAUUCAGUCGUGGAAGAUUCUGAUACAUUGAAUAUAUAACUCUGUACUGUCAAGUCAUGCUUGUUUCAAUAAGUAAUCUAUAAAAGAUAUAUACUGUGACACAAAAUUGUUUACCUAUGGGGAUAAGGCAGUCAGUGCGCAUGUAAAAGGGUGAUGUAUGAUUCGUCAAUGUAAAUGUAUUUGGCUUUGUUUAUCUUAUGAGGUGGAAAUGUUUUGAUUCUGAAUCUGGAAAAUCUGAAGUCACAUGGCAUUACAUUAUAAUUGUCUAGUGAUAAGGGAGCCUGAGUCUGCUGGCAAGGACUGGAGUCAGUAAGACUUGGUCGCACUAAAUGUUUCAGGAACCAGUGGGCCAUAGGGGAAUUUUCCCGACUACGAAAUGUAGCUAGCUCGACGGAUCUUUAAGUCCGAUCACAAUAGCCGGUUUUGCCCCUAUCUUUCCUCGCGCAGCAGGAGUAGCUCCAAACAGUUUAGAAUGCAAAUGCAUUAACACCUCAACAUGAAAUGUAUAGUUACCCAACUUUAAUGCAUGACACAAGUGUAGAAGUGAACGGCAAUGAGCAUAGUUCACAUGAUGACAUCAUGAGUGUAUGGUUAAAUAGGUCAGGAUGAAUACCUACAGCAACCGGGGGAGAAAGUAGGAGAUCUCAAGAGAUCUGUAUAGAAGCUGAAUCUAGUUUUAAAAAAACAAACAAUAAUAAUAAAUUAAUUAAUUAAUCACAAAAAAAAAAAAAAAAAAAAAAAGGUAUUGGGUGGAGGUUUGAAUUUUAUAUAAUGUAAUUUGAACACGCGGGACUGCCAAUAUCUUUGGCCAAGCAGGCCGGGAUACGCGUCCGCGUUUAGGAGUGAUGAGGGGGACAGGAACCCCAAGAAGAGGGGGAUAUCAGCGGGAGUUACUAUCCUGCUGGUGGAUCACGUUCAGAGCCCCAUGAAUUGGGGGGCUACCGGGAGGAGCUACUAUCCUUUCUGGUGAUCACGUGACCAGAGAUCCUCAGGAUUAUUCUGACAAAUUAAUUCUCACAGUUUGAUAUUGCAGAUAGGAUUAUAUUACAUGUAUUUUGGUUUGGAGUUUCGCAGAAUUAUGUUCCUGAGUUUUCAUGUUCGUACAUAGCAAUUUGCAUCAUGUAUGUGUAUUGGUAUUACAGGCAGACAUUGCCUAUUUUAAAUGUUAACGCCUUGAAGCGGAAAUAAAUGUCGAGCAAUUGCAA